UACGGGGGGGGCAAGCGUUGUUCGGAAUUACGGGGCGUAAAGGGUUCGUAGGUGGCCGACUAAGUCAGACGUGAAAUCCCUCAGCUCAACUGGGGAACUGCGUCUGAGACUGGCCGGCUUGAGUGCAGGAGAGGAACGCGGAAUUCCAGGUGUAGCGGUGAAAUGCGUAGAUAUCUGGAGGAACACCGGUGGCGAAGGCGGCAUCCUGGACCAAUAUUGACGCUGAGGAGCGAAAGCCAGGGGAGCAAACGGG
Molecule: ribosomal RNA, 253 nt
Filed under: uncultured bacterium
Lineage: Bacteria
Description: partial 16S ribosomal RNA
Rfam family: Bacterial small subunit ribosomal RNA
Source: RNAcentral